Molecule: long non-coding RNA, 225 nt
Organism: Seriola dumerili (greater amberjack)
Lineage: Eukaryota; Metazoa; Chordata; Actinopteri; Carangiformes; Carangidae
Exons: 3
Source: RefSeq, a predicted model, not a curated record
CCGGACACACCACAGUCAGCUCCUGUUGGAGGACUCAAACUCCCCCUCAGAGUGGCUGGCGUAGCGGCCGAGGCAGUGGGAGUGGAAAUAGUGGUAGCAGCUCGUCUUGGUGAACGUCUCCCCCUCCUGGCAACACACGGGACACACAGCAGCAGGACGGGGAUUCUGAAACACACUGAGCAAACUGAAACAACAUUUCUCAUCAUCUGGACUCCUGAAUAUUUC